GCCAGGUGUGGUGGCGCGUGCCUGUAGUCCCAGCUACUCAGGAGGCUGAGGUGGGAGGAUCACUUGAGCCUGGGAGGUUGAGGCUGCAGUGAGCCAAGAUUGCACCACUGUACUCUAGCCUGGGCAACAGAGUGAGACCUUAACUCAA
Pongo abelii (Sumatran orangutan) is the source of this 148-nucleotide unclassified non-coding RNA. It matches the Rfam family "Metazoan signal recognition particle RNA". From Rfam's summary of the family: The signal recognition particle (SRP) is a universally conserved ribonucleoprotein. It is involved in the co-translational targeting of proteins to membranes. NCBI's taxonomy places the organism in Eukaryota, Metazoa, Chordata, Mammalia, Primates, Hominidae. The record is from Ensembl.